CAAUGGGUCUAGAGAUUGAAAACACAAGCGACAUACCGGCGCUGAAAAAAAGUUGAGUAAACAACACUCGCCUGUGAAUACCCUAUAUCCUGCUCUUACCGCCAAAAGGAUCAACAGCAUGUACAACUGGUAAAAGAACACUGAUGAUGGCCAAGGAAGUUGCACAGAACUUCCCCAACAUCCCCUCCCAAAUUGAUAUAGAACCUUCACAAAAAACACAUGGAGCAUCUGCGAAAAGAAAUGGCUGAGGAUUUACUAAAAAUGUCUGAGUUCAACAAAGCCAAGAACUGUUUCAUGUGUGCCACUGACAAAGAACCUGCAUGUGGCCCAAAGACUGACUGGAUUGAAUGUUUGGCAUGCCGAUGGUGGUUCCAUGUGCUGUGCCUAGGAAUGAAGACAAAACAGUUCAGAGUGAAGAACACAAACUGGAAGUGUUGUCUGUAUUGUUGAAAAUGUAUUGCUAUACCCCAUCCACACUGAAGAGGCUCUGAAAUGUACAUCAACCAGGGAUAAAGAGAAAGUUAACACUGUGAAAUGAUUUGUACUUAUUUGAAGUAAAGUGUCUGUUGACAUGUCAGAAAAGAUUACAGGUCUGCAAUUUCUGUUUAAUUUUUCAAUAUUCAAUUUUCAUUCAUUGAUUUUCUGGCCACCAUUACUGUGGUUACAUCUUCAGUAUAUGUAUUUCCCAGCAAACCCACUGCA
Oncorhynchus keta (chum salmon) is the source of this 702-nucleotide long non-coding RNA. RefSeq lists it as uncharacterized. NCBI's taxonomy places the organism in Eukaryota, Metazoa, Chordata, Actinopteri, Salmoniformes, Salmonidae. The transcript is spliced from 4 exons. The record is from RefSeq and is a predicted model, not a curated record.